This 253-nucleotide ribosomal RNA is filed under the name uncultured bacterium. RNAcentral's name for it is "partial 16S ribosomal RNA". It matches the Rfam family "Bacterial small subunit ribosomal RNA", at positions 524 to 776 of the family's 1533-position model. The record is from RNAcentral.
UACGGAGGUUGCAAGCGUUAUCCGGAUUCAUUGGGUUUAAAGGGUGCGUAGGCGGGACGGUAAGUCAGUGGUGAAAGCCUGCAGCUUAACUGUAGAAUUGCCAUUGAUACUGCUGUUCUUGAGUGCAGCUGAGGUGGGCGGAAUGUGUAGUGUAGCGGUGAAAUGCUUAGAUAUUACACAGAACACCGAUUGCGAAGGCAGCUCACUAAACUGUAACUGACGCUGAGGCACGAAAGCGUGGGGAGCAAACAGG